UAUUUUGUAUACGCGAAACAAAAAGGUCGGUUCUCAAUUCCGCUCCUGCAGUAAUGCCAUCUCGAUUCCUUCCUCUUCCUCUUUCCCUUUUCUUCUGGUAGAUUCCGUGUUCCUCUCCGUUUCUUUGCUUUUGCGUCAAAAAUCGAUAAUUUUGAAGUGUUUCUGUGUUGAUAGAGUUUAAAGAUUUAGGUUUUUGAUUAAAUUUGAUGAGUUGGGUGUUCGUUUGCGAGUGCUCGAGUGUACAGCGCCGAAGUCGUUGAUGAUCGCUGCUCGGAUGACGAACAGUCCAUAGAUUCUACCUCUCCGUUUCUUUGCUUUUGCAUCAAAAAUCGAUAUUUUUAAGUGUNNNNNNNNNNNNNNNNNNNNAUAUUUUUAAGUGUUUCUGUGUUGAUAGGGUUUAAAGAUUUAGGCUUUCGAUUAAAUUUGAUGAGUUGGACGUUAGUUUGUGAAUGUUCGAGUGUACGGCGCUGAAGUCGUUGAUGAUCACUGCUCGGAUGACGAACAGUCCAUAGAUUCUGUGUUCCUCUCCGUUUCUUUGCUUUUGCAUCAAAAAUCGAUAUUUUUAAGUGUUUCUGUGUUGAUAGGGUUUAAAGAUUUAGGUUUUCGAUUAAAUUUGAUGAGUUGGGUGUUCGAUUGUGAAUGCUCGAGUGUACAGCAAUGAAGUCGUUGAUGAUCACUGCUCGGAUUGAAAUUGUUACGGUUUUGCUAACAGGAAACUCAGUGGGUGAAAACAUAUAAAUCUCUGAUUGAAAUCAAUAGAAAGCUAAUUAGACUUGCCUUAGCGCCAGUUUUGAUCACCUUCGUAAGGGCAGCCCCACAUCACCAAAUGUGGUGGUUGGGUGUUUGCAUAAAUGACGGCGUGACGACUGUUUGUGCAUGCAUAACAAUUACGAUAGCCCAACUGUGGCUCAAAUAUUUGUAAUUAGCUCCGAGUACAUACUGUUCUGCAAGUGAUGCUCAAGUCUCUCUCUGUUUAUAUCUAAAUAUUCAAGCUAAUUUGAAAAUGUUGUAUCUUAUAUUGGUAAAAAGAAUGUUUUUUAAUAUGAUUUCGACAUCUUCACCAUGUUAAACAGUUUGAUGGUUGCUUUUCUAUGCUUAUUUGGUAUUGCUAAUGAAGAAUCACGCUGCUGUUUCCUCUCAUGUUGAAGAUAGUGAGUGCAAUGCCAAACCGUCGUAAUUCAUCAACUAUGAUUACUUUCUGUUUCAACAUUUGGUUGACUUAUUACUUUCGUGUGGGCUGUGUGAUGUUUGCAGUGGAGCAUGUUGAUUAUCCUGUUAAGGUUAGUGGCGUUGACCUGUCUCCAAAUCCCCCUACAUUCAAUAUCUCUGCGUCUACUGGUAGAAGAACAUACUUUUCGCUUCACUCAUAUACUUGUUGUUUGUUUGUCAGCAUAUCUAUGACAAUUAUAUCUUUACAUGAAUGAUGGUAAGGUUCUUCAUGGAAAUUGAAAUUACCUAAAAACACAGAGAACACAUGCAUUUGUUAUAUGUUCUUGUAAUGCAUGCUCAUCUUAGCCCGUCCUUUUCGUCUAUGGUGUAUUAUGGCCAAAAUCCAAGACUAAUCUCGAAAUAGGGUGGUUUCAUAAAUGAUGAUUUAACUAACUAUUGGUUGAUUUAAAUGCAAAAAAUAUGUGGCAUAGCUUUUAGAAGGACCAUGUGAAUUAGGAUGUAAGGUCAGAAAUAUCCCUCAAAUGCUGCUAAAAGAACUCUUAACUUAUCAAGAAGUGAAGGUUCUUCCUCCAGAUUCUUAACUACUCUACAAAGCUUUUUCUUAAUAGCACAGAAAGCUUUAAGAAGCAUCAUUCAAUGCAUAAUAAAAUUCUUCAGUAUGACUCAAUAAGUUCUUUCAUAUGCUUAAACUAGAUAAUGCGCAAUUAUAUUUUUGAGUGUUGUUCAGAAACUGGAAACCUGUAUGGAAAAAAAGAGGAUGACAACAAAGCAUGAGGUUAUUUCCUGUUCAGAGUCCAGGGAGCCAAAAAAUUUGUGUCACUUGUUCAUAUGUGUGAACAACAUAUGCAUCUAAAAAAAUUUCCUGUUGAGACUUCUCUUCCCUUUCACACAUAUUUCUAACUUGUUUUCUUUAUUCAGGAUAAGUAGGAUGCACAUUGUAUCAUUUGAAGUAAGGCAAUCAAAAAACAUUCAAAAGGAACUGUAUUAACAAGUGAAGUGAAUGGAAGAUCUCAAGUGGAAGAUACAGAGAAGUAGUCCAGUGUGAAAGGGAAGGAAACGAGGGAAAUAUGUGCCGUGAAUUUGGAAGAGAUUGUUUGAGAUGAAGGUUCAAGAAAGAUGAAGGAUAGGAUAGGAGGCGAUGUUGCACUUAGCCUUAGUUUAAAUCAAUCUCAGUGAGUAAGAAAGCCACAUUUAAUCUUGGGGUAGCGCAUUUUACCACCUGCGGUUCAACCUGAUUUCAACCCUGCAAAAGAUAGUGGUAGUUCCUCUCUAUGUGGAUUGAUCCAAGAGAGGAUCAUAGUAAGAAACAAAUGGUAGAUAUAGAGAUUCAUCAUGUUGACAGCUCAUGCAGCUUAAGACAGUCCAACUUUCGCAAUUGAAAAGGGGGUUUUUUUUUUUGCAGUAUAUUUAGUAAAUUUGUUAAUCAUGCAAAAUACAAGAUCAAAGCAUUAUCUCUAUCAUCUUCUAUCUUGUUUAUAUAACAACUUGAAAUUAUCUUGAUAUUGUAAAGUUCUUUUUACCUCUGUCUCUCUCUCUCUCUCUCUUGAGCUAAUGAAACUUCUGUCUGUAUAAGAACAAAACAAUGUUUUUAGGCAGUUUGUGGAUAUUGCUUGGAUGUUUCACCUCAACUUGUUCUGAUGCUUUCUUUAAUCUGAUUUUAGCUAAUCUUAAUGUUUUGAUAGAAUUAGGUUGCUCAUUUACGAUCUGAAACUACUUAAGUCGAUCAUCCCAGUACUCAUCAUCAGAAUAUUUAGCGCUCUUUUUUACCAUCAUAUAGCAUAAGCUAUCUACUUAUGUUUUUGUAUUUUGUACAUUUGGAAUCUAGAAUCUGUGAGGUUUUAUCUCCGUCUCAGGGAUCAUACACACUUACAAUGAAGCGGAUCGGAGACAAAUCAGAACGACUGACAUGCAUUAUUUUCUAUUUCGGCAUCUGAAUGCUGCGAGAUAUGCUAUCUUCCGCAAUAUGAGCUGACACAUCAUGCUCUACUUGUUCCUCCUUUGUGAAAUCGACAUUGUAAGUAAGAAAGAUGUUAUCCGAAUGUUUAACUUAUGUAUAUCUGUGCUUUGUGAAAUCACAUCAUAAAACUUCGUUUCCAAAAUGUUUAAUGCAUCAAGUUCAUUGUUGUUUAUGGUGUACUCUCUGUUGACUAAUCGAUGAGACUCAGCUAGUUUGACUUCCUGCCAAAGAUCAGCAGCAUGACUCCUUUACUUUGACUCCAUGACGACGACCGUCUCCGGUGCUUCACGGCCGUUCCCUAUAUUCGUGACUUAAGUCGUCUCGUACGGGUUGGAUCCGACCACAGCAUCGACCCG
This 3483-nucleotide long non-coding RNA is filed under the name Musa acuminata (dwarf banana). RNAcentral describes it as "long non-coding RNA (MACU_LNC003013)". Lineage: Eukaryota; Viridiplantae; Streptophyta; Magnoliopsida; Zingiberales; Musaceae. The record is from RNAcentral.